Molecule: ribosomal RNA, 465 nt
Filed under: uncultured bacterium
Lineage: Bacteria
Description: partial 16S ribosomal RNA
Rfam family: Bacterial small subunit ribosomal RNA
Source: RNAcentral
GACGAACGCUGGCGGCGUGCUUAACACAUGCAAGUCGAACGCUGAACCCGCUUCGGUGGGGGAUGAGUGGCGAACGGGUGAGUAACACGUGGGCAACCUGCCCCCGGCUCUGGGAUAACUCCAAGAAAUUGGGGCUAAUACCGGAUGUGACCGCUUGCCGCAUGGUCUGGUGGUGGAAAGGGUUUCCGGCUGGGGAUGGGCCCGCGGCCUAUCAGCUUGUUGUUGGGGUAGUGGCCUACCAAGGCGACGACGGGUAGCCGGCCUGAGAGGGUGACCGGCCACACUGGGACUGAGACACGGCCCAGACUCCUACGGGAGGCAGCAGUGGGGAAUAUUGCGCAAUGGGCGGAAGCCUGACGCAGCGACGCCGCGUGGGGGAUGACGGCCUUCGGGUUGUAAACCUCUUUCAGCAGGGACGAAGCGCAAGUGACGGUACCUGCAGAAGAAGCACCGGCCAACUACGUG